AAAGUGCAACUGUGUAAACC
This 20-nucleotide microRNA is filed under the name Ciona intestinalis (vase tunicate). Its description in RNAcentral is "cin-miR-4029-5p". The record is from miRBase by way of RNAcentral. Lineage: Eukaryota; Metazoa; Chordata; Ascidiacea; Phlebobranchia; Cionidae.